Molecule: ribosomal RNA, 400 nt
Filed under: Drosophila melanogaster (fruit fly)
Lineage: Eukaryota; Metazoa; Arthropoda; Insecta; Diptera; Drosophilidae
Description: SSU rRNA
Rfam family: Eukaryotic small subunit ribosomal RNA
Source: RNAcentral
AUAACUGUGGUAAUUCUAGAGCUAAUACAUGCNAUUAAAACAUGAACCUUAUGGGACAUGUGCUUUUAUUAGGCUAAAACCAAGCGAUCGCAAGAUCGUUAUAUUGGUUGAACUCUAGAUAACAUGCAGAUCGUAUGGUCUUGUACCGACGACAGAUCUUUCAAAUGUCUGCCCUAUCAACUUUUGAUGGUAGUAUCUGGGACUACCAUGGUUGCAACGGGUNACGGGGAAUCAGGGUUCGAUUCCGGAGAGGGAGCCUGAGAAACGGCUGCCACAUCUAAGGGNGGCAGCAGGCGCGUAAAUUACCCACUCCCAGCUCGGGGAGGUAGUGACGAAAAAUAACAAUACAGGACUCAUAUCCGAGGCCCUGUGAUUGGAAUGAGUACACUUUAAAUCCUUU